GAUGAACGCUGGCGGCGUGCCUAAUACAUGCAAGUCGAGCGAACGGACGAUAAGCUUGCUUUUCUGAUGUUAGCGGCGGACGGGUGAGUAACACGUGGAUCACCUACCUAUAAGACUGGGAUAAUUUCGGGAAACCGGAGCUAAUACCGGAUAAUAUUUUGAACCGCAUGGUUCAAAAGUGAAAGACGGUCUUGGUGUCACUUAUCGAUGGAUCCGCGCUGCAUUAGCUAGUUGGUAAGGUAACGGCUUACGAAGGCAACGAUGCAUAGCCGACCUGAGAGGGUGAUCGGCCACACGGGAAGUGAGACACGCUCCAUACUCCUACGGGAGGCAGCAGUAGGGAAUCUGCCGCAAUGGGCGAAAGCCUGACGGAGCAACGCCGCGUGAGUGAUGAAGGUCUUCGGAUCGUAAAACUCUGUUAUUAGGGAAGAACAGAUGUGUAAGGAACUGUGCACAUCUUGACGGUACCUAAUCAGAAAGCCACGGCUAACUACGUG
This 497-nucleotide ribosomal RNA is filed under the name uncultured bacterium. Its description in RNAcentral is "partial 16S ribosomal RNA". It matches the Rfam family "Bacterial small subunit ribosomal RNA", at positions 28 to 507 of the family's 1533-position model. The record is from RNAcentral.